UUGAUCCUGGCUCAGAUUGAACGCUGGCGGAAUGCUUUACACAUGCAAGUCGAACGGUAGAGGGGGCAACCCCUUGAGAGUGGCGAACGGGUGAGUAAUAUAUCGGAACGUGCCCAGUCGUGGGGGAUAACGUAGCGAAAGUUACGCUAAUACCGCAUACGAUCUAAGGAUGAAAGCGGGGGAUCGCAAGACCUCGCGCGACUGGAGCGGCCGAUAUCAGAUUAGGUAGUUGGUGGGGUAAAGGCUCACCAAGCCAACGAUCUGUAGCUGGUCUGAGAGGACGACCAGCCACACUGGAACUGAGACACGGUCCAGACUCCCACGGGAGGCAGCAGUGGGGAAUUUUGGACAAUGGACGCAAGUCUGAUCCAGCCAUUCCGCGUGCAGGAUGAAGGCCCUCGGGUUGUAAACUGCUUUUGUACGGAACGAAAAGGUCUCUCCUAAUACGAGAGGCUCAUGACGGUACCGUAAGAAUAAGCACCGGCUAACUACGUGCCAGCAGCCGCGGUAAUACGUAGGGUGCAAGCGUUAAUCGGAAUUACUGGGGCGUAAAGCGUGCGCAGGCGGUUAUAUAAGACAGAUGUGACAUCCCCGGGCUCAACCUGGGAACUGCAUUUGUGACUGUAUAGCUAGAGUACGGUAGAGGGGGAUGGAAUUCCGCGUGUAGCAGUGAAAUGCGUAGAUAUGCGGAGGAACACCGAUGGCGAAGGCAAUCCUCUGGGACCUGUACUGACGCUCAUGCACGAAAGCGUGGGGAGCAAACAGGAUUAGAUACCCUGGUAGUCCACGCCCUAAACGAUGUCAACUGGUUGUUGGGUCUUAACUGACUCAGUAACGAAGCUAACGCGUGAAGUGGACCGCCUGGGGAGUACGGCCGCAGGUGAACUCAAGGAAUUGACGG
This 901-nucleotide ribosomal RNA is filed under the name uncultured bacterium. Its description in RNAcentral is "bacterial SSU rRNA". It matches the Rfam family "Bacterial small subunit ribosomal RNA", at positions 13 to 916 of the family's 1533-position model. The record is from RNAcentral.